UAACCGCCUCUUCCAAACCCUAGUUCCACCUCUUCGCAUCGCAUCCCCUUCCCCUCCGCUCCCCAAAACCCUCGCCUUUUCCGUUUCUUCAAAACCCUAGCCAUGGUGAAGAAGAAGAAGGAGAAGCAGGUCAACGUCUCGGGGAAGCCGAAGCACUCGCUCGACGUGAACCGCAGCAAUGGCGGAGGCGACAAGGGAGUCCGCUCCGCGGCCACGGUGCGGCGGCUCAAGAUGUACAACACGAGGCCGAAGCGCGAUCGCAAGGGGAAGGUGUUGAAGCACGAUCUCCAAUCCAAGGAGCUCCCCAACACCCGCAUCGAGCCCGAUCGGCGCUGGUUCGGGAACACGCGAGUUGUGAACCAGAAAGAGCUUGAGUUCUUCAGGGAGGAGCUUCAGAGCCGUCUUUCAAAUAAUUACAAUGUCAUACUGAAGGAGAGGAAGCUGCCCCUGUCGCUUCUAAAUGAUCAUCAAAAGCAAGCCAAGGCGCAUCUUCUUGAUACUGAGCCUUUCGACCAUGCAUUUGGGCCGAAGAGGAAGAGGAAGCGCCCUAAGCUCUUGGCAUCUGAUUAUGAUUCUUUGGUUAAAAAAGCAGAUGUCUCUCAAGAUGCAUUUGAGCAAAAAUCUGCUGCUGCAAACCUAUCUAAGGGGGAGGAAGAGGAAGAUGGUUUACGAGACCUAGUUCGGCAUACAAUGUUCGAAAAGGGGCAGAGCAAGCGAAUAUGGGGUGAACUUUACAAAGUUGUUGAUUCUUCAGAUGUAGUUGUACAGGUUCUAGAUGCUAGAGAUCCACAAGGUACUAGAUGCCACCACUUAGAGAAGCACUUAAAGGAGCAUUGCACGCACAAACACAUGAUUCUUUUACUAAAUAAGUGUGAUCUAGUUCCUGCAUGGGUGACAAAAGGAUGGCUGCGGGUCUUAUCAAAGGAGUACCCUACUCUAGCAUUUCAUGCCAGCAUAAAUAAUUCUUUUGGCAAGGGGUCUCUUCUAUCAGUGUUGAGACAAUUUGCUCGCUUGAAGAGUGACAAGCAAGCCAUAUCUGUGGGAUUUGUUGGAUAUCCUAAUGUUGGGAAGUCGUCAGUUAUUAAUACAUUACGCUCAAAAAGUGUCUGCAAAGUGGCGCCAAUUCCAGGAGAGACUAAAGUGUGGCAGUAUAUCACUCUUACUAAAAGGAUCUUUUUAAUUGACUGCCCUGGAGUAGUCUACCAAAACAAUGACUCAGAAACAGAUAUAGUUCUUAAGGGUGUGGUACGUGUGACAAACUUGGAAGAUGCUUCUGAACAUAUUGGAGAAGUCCUGAAACGUGUAAAAAAGGAGCAUCUGCAAAGAGCAUACAAAAUUGAAGAGUGGGUUGAUGAGAAUGAUUUCCUGGUCCAGCUGUCCAAGUCCACUGGCAAACUCCUGAAGGGAGGCGAGCCGGAUCUUAUGACUGCAGCAAAGAUGGUCCUCCAUGACUGGCAAAGGGGUAAAAUUCCUUUUUUUGUCUUCCCACCGCAACAAGACGAAGAAAACCUGCCCGAGGAUUCUAAGUUAAUCGAGAAAAAUGAAGAGCCGACGAUAAGCACCGAUCGGACUGCUGCUGCCAUGAAAGCCAUUGCGGGUAUUAUCUCAUCCCAGCAGCUCAUGCAUGUUCCUGCUCACAAGGACUUCGGUGAUGAUGAGAGAGAGAAUGCAAAUCUAGAGCAGGUUGAAGAUAACGCUCAGUGAAGUCUCCAGGAUUUGCUUAUCACAAGAGUGUUUUCCCCGCGUUUUGGUUAUGAGUGUGUUUCUUCGCAUCUCAAGGAAAGGCGAGAACUAGUAUUUCUACAAGAUCCUGAGUAGAGGCAAACGACAGAGCAUGAUUCAUCGCCGAGGGCAGGUUUAAGCAAUCAAAUGAAGAGUGGUUGCGAGACAGUGGAGUUUUAUAUGGAUUCUCAGCACAAAUGGUAAUUAAGGAGUACGAGAUAAUAUUGGCACAGAAUAGAGAAAGCUCACAUCCCUACCUAUUUUUGUAUUAUUGUGUUGAGAUAAAUGGAGGCUCUUCCUGUUCCGGCGUUCGUCUGAAUCUUUCCUUGAGGCGACAAAAAGUUUAUAAUUAGAGAUUAAGGUAUCUUUUGCUCGUGCUUCGUAGUAUUUCCCCAUGGUAAAAUCAUUUUGAUCUUAUUUUGACAUUUUCUUAAUUCAAGAGUAGCCUAUUAAUUUUGACAUAAACUAGGGAAAAAAAAAAGAGAAAAAACUCUCUGAUUAAUCUCUCUAUGUUGUCGAAUUGCUAUACCCUUUUCACCUGGGAUGAUCUCCUCCGUGAGAUGUUCUUCAAUAAAACCUUUCACUGGACCUCUUAAUUAUAAAA
Ananas comosus (pineapple) is the source of this 2326-nucleotide RNA transcript. It is a transcript of the gene named nuclear/nucleolar GTPase 2, with no coding region annotated. NCBI's taxonomy places the organism in Eukaryota, Viridiplantae, Streptophyta, Magnoliopsida, Poales, Bromeliaceae. The transcript has 13 exons. The record is from RefSeq and is a predicted model, not a curated record.